Molecule: ribosomal RNA, 321 nt
Filed under: Triticum aestivum (bread wheat)
Lineage: Eukaryota; Viridiplantae; Streptophyta; Magnoliopsida; Poales; Poaceae
Description: partial small subunit ribosomal RNA
Source: RNAcentral
AUGGUGAGAUUUAGGGGGUGGCGUGAGCAGGUUCUCCUUCGUAUUUCCCCACGUCUUCUCCCUUUGUUUACUCUUCCCCUUCCACCCCUGGCGGAUCCCGCCGUGCCGUACCUUAGCGUCGCCGCCGCCGCCGCCCCUCAAUCUCCUCCCACCCACCAACUCUGGGGACGCGCGUCGGCGCCGCCGCCGCCAUCGCCGUUCCCCUUCUUCGUCGACUCCCAGAACAUCGCGCCAGGGCUGUCCUGCUACCGUCUCCCUCCUUUCGAGGAUGCUAUAACCGAUAUAGCAUUUGGAGAAGGGCCACACUAUUUUUUACAUUGA